Small nuclear RNA from Dasypus novemcinctus (nine-banded armadillo), 98 nucleotides. The record is from Ensembl. Lineage: Eukaryota; Metazoa; Chordata; Mammalia; Cingulata; Dasypodidae.
UGCUUAGUUUGGCAGCAAUAUACUAAAAUUGGAAUGAUACAGAAAAAAUUAACAUGCACAAGGAUGACAUGCAAAUUUGUGAAGUGCUUGUUUUAUUG